This 543-nucleotide ribosomal RNA is filed under the name uncultured bacterium. RNAcentral describes it as "bacterial SSU rRNA". It matches the Rfam family "Bacterial small subunit ribosomal RNA", at positions 777 to 1320 of the family's 1533-position model. The record is from RNAcentral.
AAUAGAUACCCCGGUAGUCCACCCGUAACGUUGGGAACUAAUUGUGGGGUCCUUUCCACGGAUUCCGUGACGCAGCUAACGCAUUAAGUUCCCCGCCUGGGGAGUACGGCCGCAAGGCUAAAACUCAAAGGAAUUGACGGGGACCCGCACAAGCGGCGGAGCAUGCGGAUUAAUUCGAUGCAACGCGAAGAACCUUACCAAGGCUUGACAUAUACCAGAACACCCUAGAAAUAGGGGACUCUUUGGACACUGGUGAACAGGUGGUGCAUGGUUGUCGUCAGCUCGUGUCGUGAGAUGUUGGGUUAAGUCCCGCAACGAGCGCAACCCUCGUUCUAUGUUGCCAGCACGUAAUGGUGGGAACUCAUGGGAUACUGCCGGGGUCAACUCAGAGGAAGGUGGGGAUGACGUCAAAUCAUCAUGCCCCUUAUGUCUUGGGCUUCACGCAUGCUACAAUGGCCGGUACAAAGGGCUGCAAUACCGUGAGGUGGAGCGAAUCCCAAAAAGCCGGUCCCAGUUCGGAUUGAGGUCUGCAACUCGACCUCA